UGGGGAAUAUUGCACAAUGGGCGCAAGCCUGAUGCAGCCAUGCCGCGUGUAUGAAGAAGGCCUUCGGGUUGUAAAGUACUUUCAGCGGGGAGGAAGGCGAUAAGGUUAAUAACCUUGUCGAUUGACGUUACCCGCAGAAGAAGCACCGGCUAACUCCGUGCCAGCAGCCGCGGUAAUACGGAGGGUGCAAGCGUUAAUCGGAAUUACUGGGCGUAAAGCGCACGCAGGCGGUCUGUCAAGUCGGAUGUGAAAUCCCCGGGCUCAACCUGGGAACUGCAUUCGAAACUGGCAGGCUAGAGUCUUGUAGAGGGGGGGUAGAAUUCCAGGUGUAGCGGUGAAAUGCGUAGAGAUCUGGAGGAAUACCGGUGGCGAAGGCGGCCCCCUGGACAAAGACUGACGCUCAGGUGCGAAAGCGUGGGGAGCAAACA
Molecule: ribosomal RNA, 428 nt
Filed under: uncultured bacterium
Lineage: Bacteria
Description: partial 16S ribosomal RNA
Rfam family: Bacterial small subunit ribosomal RNA
Source: RNAcentral